UAAUGCUCAAGUAUUCUCCUGCUUUUU
This 27-nucleotide non-coding RNA is filed under the name Mus musculus (house mouse). Lineage: Eukaryota; Metazoa; Chordata; Mammalia; Rodentia; Muridae. The record is from RNAcentral.